UUAGUGGCGGACGGGUGAGUAACGCGUGGGUAACCUGCCUUAUACAGGGGGAUAACACUUAGAAAUAGGUGCUAAUACCGCAUAAGCGCACGGGGCUGCAUGGCCCAGUGUGAAAAACUCCGGUGGUAUAAGAUGGACCCGCGUCUGAUUAGCCAGUUGGCAGGGUAACGGCCUACCAAAGCGACGAUCAGUAGCCGGCCUGAGAGGGCGGACGGCCACACUGGGACUGAGACACGGCCCAGACUCCUACGGAAGGCAGCAG
This 262-nucleotide ribosomal RNA is filed under the name uncultured bacterium. RNAcentral's name for it is "partial 16S ribosomal RNA". It matches the Rfam family "Bacterial small subunit ribosomal RNA", at positions 92 to 354 of the family's 1533-position model. The record is from RNAcentral.